CCUACGGGUGGCAGCAGUAGGGAAUCUUCCACAAUGGGCGAAAGCCUGAUGGAGCAACGCCGCGUGGGUGAAGAAGGUCUUCGGGUCGUAAAACCCUGUUGUUAGAGAAGACAGUGCGUGAGAGUAACUGUUCACGUUUCGACGGUAUCUAAGCAGAACGCCACGGCUAACUACGUGCCAGCCGCCGCGGUAAUACGUAGGUGGCAAGCGUUAUCCGGAUUUAUUGAGCGUAAAGGGAACGCAGGCGGUCUUUUAAGUCUGAUGUGAAAUCCUUGGGCUUAACCGGAGUAGUGCAUUGGAAACUGGGAGACUUGAGUGCAGAAGAGGAGAGUGGAACGCCAUGUGUAGCGGUGAAAUGCGUAGAUAUAUGGAAGAACACCAGUGGCGAAAGCGGCUCUCUGGUCUGUAACUGACGCUGAGGUUCGAAAGCGUGGGUAGCAAACAGGAUUAGAUACCCCUGUAGUC
RNAcentral lists this ribosomal RNA (465 nucleotides) under uncultured bacterium. RNAcentral's name for it is "partial 16S ribosomal RNA". It matches the Rfam family "Bacterial small subunit ribosomal RNA", at positions 338 to 795 of the family's 1533-position model. The record is from RNAcentral.